RNAcentral lists this ribosomal RNA (206 nucleotides) under uncultured bacterium. RNAcentral describes it as "partial 16S ribosomal RNA". It matches the Rfam family "Bacterial small subunit ribosomal RNA", at positions 568 to 774 of the family's 1533-position model. The record is from RNAcentral.
CGCGUAGGCGGGUUCACAAGUCCGGGGUGAAAGCCCCCAGCUCAACUGGGGAAGCGCCUUGGAUACUGUGGGUCUCGAGGGGGUAGGGGCGCGCGGAACUUCCGGUGGAGCGGUGAAAUGCGUAGAUAUCGGAAGGAACACCGGUGGCGAAAGCGGCGCGCUGGACCCCUUCUGACGCUGAGGCGCGAAAGCCAGGGGAGCAAACG